UACGGAGAGUGCAAACGUUGUUCGGAUUCACUGGGCGUAAAGGGCACGUAGGCGGCUCGGCAAAUCGGUCGUGGAAUCCAGACGCUUACCGUCUGAACGGCGGCCGAAAAUACCGGGCUCGAGGGCGUGAGGGGUCACUGGAACUCCUGGUGAAGCGGUGAAAUGCGUAGAUAUCGGGAGGAACACCUGUGGCGAAAGCGGCGCACUGGACCAUAACUGACGCUGAGGCGCGAAAGCUAGGGGAGCAAACAGG
This 253-nucleotide ribosomal RNA is filed under the name uncultured bacterium. RNAcentral's name for it is "partial 16S ribosomal RNA". It matches the Rfam family "Bacterial small subunit ribosomal RNA", at positions 524 to 776 of the family's 1533-position model. The record is from RNAcentral.